This 277-nucleotide ribosomal RNA is filed under the name uncultured Porphyromonadaceae bacterium. RNAcentral describes it as "partial 16S ribosomal RNA". It matches the Rfam family "Bacterial small subunit ribosomal RNA", at positions 511 to 788 of the family's 1533-position model. Lineage: Bacteria; Pseudomonadati; Bacteroidota; Bacteroidia; Bacteroidales; Porphyromonadaceae. The record is from RNAcentral.
GCAGCCGCGGUAAUACGGAGGAUGCGAGCGUUAUCCGGAUUUAUUGGGUUUAAAGGGUGCGUAGGCGGGUUGCUAAGUCAGUGGUAAAAGCGUGUGGCUCAACCAUACCAAGCCAUUGAAACUGGCGAUCUUGAGUGUAAACGAGGUAGGCGGAAUGUGACGUGUAGCGGUGAAAUGCUUAGAUAUGUCACAGAACCCCGAUUGCGAAGGCAGCUUACCAGCAUACAACUGACGCUGAGGCACGAAAGCGUGGGUAUCAAACAGGAUUAGAUACCCC